GAUGAACGCUGGCGGCGUACCUAAUACAUGCAAGUCGAGCGAACGGACGAGAAGCUUGCUUCUCUGAUGUUAGCGGCGGACGGGUGAGUAACACGUGGAUAACCUACCUAUAAGACUGGGAUAACUUCGGGAAACCGGAGCUAAUACCGGAUAAUAUUUUGAACCGCAUGGUUCAAAAGUGAAAGACGGUCUUGCUGUCACUUAUAGAUGGAUCCGCGCUGCAUUAGCUAGUUGGUAAGGUAACGGCUUACCAAGGCAACGAUGCAUAGCCGACCUGAGAGGGUGAUCGGCCACACUGGAACUGAGACACGGUCCAGACUCCUACGGGAGGCAGCAGUAGGGAAUCUUCCGCAAUGGGCGAAAGCCUGACGGAGCAACGCCGCGUGAGUGAUGAAGGUCUUCGGAUCGUAAAACUCUGUUAUUAGGGAAGAACAUAUGUGUAAGUAACUGUGCACAUCUUGACGGUACCUAAUCAGAAAGCCACCGCUAACUACGUG
This 497-nucleotide ribosomal RNA is filed under the name uncultured bacterium. Its description in RNAcentral is "partial 16S ribosomal RNA". It matches the Rfam family "Bacterial small subunit ribosomal RNA", at positions 28 to 507 of the family's 1533-position model. The record is from RNAcentral.